RNAcentral lists this ribosomal RNA (654 nucleotides) under uncultured bacterium. Its description in RNAcentral is "bacterial SSU rRNA". It matches the Rfam family "Bacterial small subunit ribosomal RNA", at positions 67 to 719 of the family's 1533-position model. The record is from RNAcentral.
CGAGAUAUUUAUAUCGAGUGGCGAACGGGUGAGUAAUACAUAGGUAACCUGCCCUAGACAGGGGGAUAACUAUUGGAAACGAUAGCUAAAACCGCAUAGGUAACACUUUCGCAUGAAGGAGUUAUUAAAAGUGCCUCAAAGCACUGGUCAAGGAUGGACUUAUGGCGCAUUAGCUAGUUGGUAAGGUAACGGCUUACCAAGGCGACGAUGCGUAGCCGACCUGAGAGGGUGACCGGCCACACUGGGACUGAGACACGGCCCAGACUCCUACGGGAGGCAGCAGUAGGGAAUUUUCGGCAAUGGGCGAAAGCCUGACCGAGCAACGCCGCGUGAAGGAAGAAGGUUUUCGGAUUGUAAACUUCUGUUAUAAAGGAAGAAUAGUAUAUGUAGGAAAUGACAUAUAAAUGACGGUACUUUAUUAGAAAGCCACGGCUAACUACGUGCCAGCAGCCGCGGUAAUACGUAGGUGGCAAGCGUUAUCCGGAAUUAUUGGGCGUAAAGAGGGAGCAGGCGGCAAUAGAGGUCUGUGGUGAAAGACUGAAGCUUAACUUCAGUAAGCCAUGGAAACCAAAUAGCUAGAGUGCAUUAGAGGAUCGUGGAAUUCCAUGUGUAGCGGUGAAAUGCGUAGAUAUAUGGAGGAACACCAGUGGCGAA